GGUCAGCCCGCUCUGGAAGCACUGACUUACUGUGGAGACAGGAGGUCUUCCAAAAGCCUGCUUCAGGAAAGGGAAGCAUAGCUAGCCAGGCGCUGAUGACUCUUCCCUCACACCAGUCCUUGGAACAAUUACUUCUGAACUUUGGUCCAGAAGGAUGAGGCUCCACCGUCCAUCAAAGAUCCAUUUGGCCCAUGCUGGAGGGGAGCAGGCUGGAAAAGGAAGGAUCACUCCAACACAGGAGGUGACUAAGAGGAGGCAACUGUCAUGGUAAAAAAUAGUUAAGUAUUGAUUAACAUCUUCCCUUAGCAGGAAUGUUAUCACACACAAACUCUGAGAAUCGGAAGGCCCACACCACUCUAAAGGGAGUGAAUUAUGCUUCCUGUAGACCUAAGAGCCUAGAUAGCCUCAUGCAUCUACCUGAGCAGAGGCUGUCCCACAAGGGCAGUCUGCACUUCACUAAACUGAAUGAGAAUUCUCCAGAUUCGGAAAGACCAGCGUACCCUCACUUUGCUCUUCUUUUCUUUGCUAUAUGCUGGCAUUAAAAAAUGUCACCUAGGUUGCUAAAAGACCUUGUUCUUGCUGGCUCUUUUUUUUUUUUUUCCAAACUUGACCAAAGCUAGAGUUAUCCGGUAAGAGGAACAUCAACUGGGAAUAUGCCUCCAUUGGAAAGGCCUGUAGGGACAUUUUCUUGAUUAAAGAUCAGGGUAGGUGGUGGGAUCCCUGCCUGGCAGAUGGCCCUGGACUGUAUAAGCAAACAGCUUAGAAAGUCAGUGGGAACAAGCCGAUAGGCAGCACCCUUCCAUGGCCUCUGCAUCAGCUCCUGCCUCCAGGUUCCUGCUUUGAGUUCCUGCCCUGACUUUCCUUCAUGAUAGACUAUGAACUGUCAGAUGGAACAAAUCCCUCCCUCUCCAAACUGCUUCUGAUCAUAGUGUUUAUGUUAGUCAUAGAAAACAGUCAAGGAGGGCCCUUGUGGAUGUCUGCUGGUGGUAGCUGGUUUGAGAUAUCAGACCUGAGUGUCAGAGACCCCAAAACACUGUCUGAAGCUCUCUCCCUCUCUUUCUCCCUCCUUCUCUCUCUAAUGCCUUUGUCUGGUGUCUCUCAAUAAUAGCUACUGUAACUCAAUCUGAAGAAAAAUACAAAGGCUCCAUUGACUACUGUGAUCAGGGACCCCGAAUCAAGUUUCCUGAGGUUGUAGCCAUCUUUUCUUUCUCUCCAUUUUGCCUCCUGUGGCCAUGACCUCAUUCAACAGUUACCAACACUGAAGACUGCUGGAGAAUACCGAGACAAUAUGUCCUAUUCUCCAAACCAAAGAAGGAGAGAGGGGAGAAGAAAGAGGAAGGAGGAGGAAGAGGGGUAGGAGGGAGAGAGAGAAGUAAAGAGAUGCAGAGAGAUAGAGGCGGCAGAGAGACAGACAAGGUUAACAUGUGUUCUCAUGAGGCCACAGGAGCUGCCCGUUGCCAGAAUUUGACGUCAUGUUGAGUGUUGUCAACCACACAUCAUUUCAUACAACAGUGUGGCUGGUCCCUUGCAUAUGUCCCCACAGCAGCAGAGACUUUUCUGGCUGCAUCUCCCUCUGCUGCAAAGAUCAGGAGAGACUGUUCUCUCAUGCGCAAGGUUUGCAUCCUCUAGCGAUCCUGGCUAGCUGCUUUGGAGCCACUCAUCGCCAGAUUGUCCCCUCUGCUCACCUUUAAGGUCAUCGAGGCUGGCUGCUCUCAUCUUUUCCAAGUAGUUGGCACAGUUCUACUCAUGUCCAUAGGAACAAGAGGAUGCCAUCUCUUUAGGAUCUGUCUUGGAGACAGGGCGUUUUCCACAAAGCAUCACCCGAUCCCACAUCCCCAGACCCCACUCAGCAGCCAAUAACCUUGGGCAGUGUUUCUCUCCUCUCCGGGUCUCAGGGACAUCAAUCGUAACCAAAGUGAUCCAGAUUAUUGGAUCAUAAAGAUGGUGAAUGUCAGUGGAGUGAUCCACACACAGCACUCAUCACCAUUGCUGAAAUUCUGGAUUUCCAAAAAGCACUGUGUGACCCUUCUAGUAUGUCCUGCAAGCUCCCAGGGCUGUGUUCUUGGUCACCGAUGCUGGGAAGAGAUGGGAACAGACUUCUCCCUUUUGUUUCGACUCUUUAGUCAUCCUUGUCAUCAACAACUCCUUCCAUGAUAGUCUUAGAGUAGGUACUCUGCUCUGUCAUCUGCAGAAAAGACUCCCCAAUAUCCAUUUUGUCGCCUGGAAAGAAAAGGACCUGAUAACACACGUGUCAGGACCUAUUUUCAGUUCUUUGCAAGUCAGAGCUUGCCUCCAUGCCUUUUCCAGUCCCUCAGGACUUUUAGAUAUACUGUUUAAAUAUUUAUAAACUGUUACAAUUAUUUAUUAAAGGUUUAUGUUGUUAUUAUAUUUAGUACGGAGUAUUCAUUUCUCCCUCCAAAAAUAACAGGACUUUCCAUUAAACUAUGUGCGUUAACGAUGCAGUAAAUUGUCUUUUAAAGCAAUAGAGAAAGUUUCUCUCUCCUUUGACAAUCCUAAGUAUCCUUAUUUAAAAGUAGGGAUCCUUCCUCACUGGAGAAUGCAUCGCUCCCGAUUCUCUGAAUGCUGUUCUAUGCGGACUGAGGAAAUGUUUAGUGCUUAUGCAGAGAAAUUCUUGCCUUAGAAAUCAUUGUCCAGCUGAAAGCAAUGGAUGCUCUGGAGUUGGCCAGUUCCUUCUGUGCACGCUGCUGUUGUGUGCAUACAAGUGAGCACGAGUGCGUCUUUUCAAGAGUGUCUCAAAGUAGAUCAGCCUUGCUUCCUCCCUCCCUAGCUUUCUUCCCUUCUGCCUUCCUCUCUUCCAGUUUAACCCAAUCUGUGCUAACAGUGAGAAUGAUGCUAAAUGCAAACAAACAAACAGAAACCAGAUGAGAAGCUCUACUCUGAGGAGCCGGGUAGUUAAGAGCACUCGCUCGCUCUUCCAGGGGAAGAGGCUUCAGUUCUUAGUGCCCACAUUGGGCAGCUCACAACCAUCUACAGCUCCAGCUGCAGGGGAUCUCGCAACCAACUGACACCUGCAUUUAUGUGCACAUACCUGGACACACACACACAUACACACACACACACACGCACACACACACACACACACACACACAUUUAAAACUAAAAUCAAUCUUACGUAAAAAGAAAUCCUACCCUGAAAGAUUUGCAGGCUCCAAUGGCAGAUGAAAAUCAACAAAAGCAAUGUCAUAUGAACGGAAACUCGCAACAGAAAGGAGCAAACAGAAGUCCACCAGGAAAAGGAAGAAGGGUCCACACGGCAGAAGACUAGUUCUUUGGUGUAUGUAUCAUCUGUACACCCCGCAUGAGGCUAGAUUUAGAGAAAAGCAGCUCGCUUUUCCUUGGAGUGAAAUGUCUCUUCCUUCACUAGGUUGUCAAGCCACCGGUCUGGAUUUGUUGCUUAGGCUAGUUGACCACUGCUCCUACCUGCAGAGACUUUGUCCUGUAGGGACAUAUAGUAAUAUCUGCAGCCGUUUGACAGAUGAGUAAGAGGACAUUGGCAUGUAGAGGUUGGAGCUGAGAUGUGCUGCCAAACGCCCAUAGAAGCUCUCAAUACAACCCUCCAUCCCUGAAUGUCCACAAUGCCCAGAUUGGUGCUGAGAAAAACUGGGCAGCUUCUGGAGGACUCUGAAGGGUUCCUGUGAGCCUGUCAUGAAAUUCCUGGAGGAAGCAUUGCAAAGGCAAGGGCCAGAAUGUUCCUGAGGAGACUGAAGGUUAUUUUGAAAGCUGAUUUUUUCCCCACCCCCACGUCUAGAAACCAAGAGAUCAGGAUUCUAGACUUGACUCAUCCAUCAGCAGAUGCUAUGACUUGGGUAUGAUUCUGGAAAGCCCCUGGAAUGCCCCACAGGGAAAUAAAAGGCCAAGGAUGCGGAGUGUUUCAAGGAUCUCCUUGGAGCAGAAAGAAUUAAAUAAAAACCCAAUGAACCUGAGCUGGAUCGGCUGCCCUCUUGUUCCUGGCAGGUCCCAAGGCAUCCGAGAGGCACCACGGGACUUCAUACAUUGUGGAUGUGUGUGCUCACCAUGGAACGGAAGGAGAGAGCAAGAUGAGCCUGGUUAUGCAGUCCCUGAGGAUUAGAGGCCAUGGUGGUCCCUAUUGUCUGUGGGUGAAAACUGAGGGCUACCCCCCCUUCCCCCUCUGCUGGAAACUUAGGAGCACGCUCACUGGUAAAAGUCCUGAGACAACUGCUACGAUUUCCAACCUCUGGCUGUACCGCCUCUCUAACCUCCAGAUGAGAGUUCCAUUCUUUUCCUUGGAAAUCUAAUUCCCUCUGCUUGCUGCUCAGGGUCCUAACACACACUGCCAUGGGCCCCUGGGCCAUGUUCUGGAGGCAGGGGCUAUUACCUUGAUAACCCGAAAGGAAUCUAUCUCCGGAAGUCAGCCAUCUUUCACCCUGCACUUGAACCUGCAGGACUCUAUCUUGCUUGCUUGUAAAGGAAGCUGUCUGAAGGCCACAUAUAAAUUCAUACAUUCCUAGAAUUUAGUUUAGAGGACCCAGAGGGGCUCCUGAAGGAACAGACCGAUUUCAGACCUGCUCCGGUGCCCCGGAGAGUCAGCAGGCUGCCAGUCCAUUCUUCCCACUCAGAGAGUUGGGGGCGCUUACGACAUAAUUGAAGCAUUAGUAACAGUUUCUUUCCCCUUCUCCAGGCGUUCCCAGAGGUCUGCCGUUUGCUUUGCAGGAACCGUUGGCAUUAAAUACGCUGGGUGUCUGCACAGCAGUGAGGUGGUUAAUUUUGACUGGAUAUUAUGCUCUAUAACCACUUGGCAUUUAACUUGAAAAAUGACUUUCUGCAUCACCUGUCAGCGUACCAGUUCUCAUCAAAUAAGUGAGUGAGAAAAAAUUUUAAAUUUCAAUUUCCUGAUGCUAUUAGACACUACUUCUUCCAUACUUAAACAGUUUAGCAGGGCAUGGGCAGGCUUUGGUAUGCAGGCCGUGUUUCGCGCUACAUGCCGUUACGAUAGCUAUUUUUUUGUUUAAAGGGUAAAGAGAUGCAUGGAUCUUUAUCUGGAGGUUAGAAAAAUGUAUUGCAGGAGCAAGGCCAAUCAGGCUCUGGGUAACUUUGAACUGGUACCGGCCCAGCAAUCACCGUAGAGGACUUGACACGUCAGAAGCGGCUUAGAAAUGAAGUAACGGCGGAGAGUAACCUUGCUCAGUACUUCAGGGGGAAAUUGAUCACUCAUGUUAGCAUUAAUCUAUUUUUACUGUUCCUUUGGUCAAUUAUAAUUCAGUAAACCAUGCCGGAGCCUUGCGUUCAUGAACUCUCUCUAUGUUUAAGAUUAAAACCCCAGGCUCCUCUGCUCCGGUGAAUUAGAGAUCUCUCCCACGCCUCGCAGUUCAAACAGCUUCGUUAGCGUCCCCUCAUUUUGUUUAGACAUCCUUGAAAUGAAAAGCCUGUGGAGAGAUGACAGCAUUUGAUUUCUGCAUUGCGGAGCCACUUUCUAAUAAGUCCUCGUUUUUGUACCUUGACCCAGGCAGGAACUAGAUGGGUGACUAAGUGGGGUUCUGCUGACUGCAUCCUGGGGUAGGACCCAGGCCCCAGCAGACUGCCAGCUUACUGCCCCCUCCCCCCCCCCCCGCCACUUUCAUUCUAUUUAUCAUCUGUCCAUCCAUCCAUCUGUUUCUUAAGCAGCAUUUAGCUGUGUAGCUCAGACUGAACUAACUCUAUAAUCCAGGCUGGAUUUUAUGAUCCUCCUGCCUCAGCUUCCAGUGAGCUGGGAUUCCAGGAGUAUGCCACCAUUCCUAGGCCUGUUCUGUUUCCUUAAAUGAAACAACACCAAGCCUCUCCUCACAUGCCCACCUCUGGGAUAGCUGGCACUCGGAGAAGUUAUGUGACUGUUCCCGAGAUCCUGCAUCUGAAGAAGGCUUGUGACACUGCCUGGCCUCCUGCAGUAAGAGUUGGACCAGCCUAUAAUUUUAUCUCUCAAACUUUCAUUUUCUGCUCUCUUUGUGCCUAGACUUAACUUUUCUAUAUCUUGGGGAGGUGCUCCCAGAAAGAAUAAAUCAUUUAAGGUCUUAGACACUUGGGAUAAGGUAAUCCUUUACUUUGUCCAAAAGGUGUGUGUGUACAUGUGUGUGUGUGUAAGUAUAUGUGUAUGUGUGUGCUUGUGCAUGUUUGUGCAUAUAUGUGUGUACAUAUGUAUGAAGUCACUCCUGUUUUAUAGAUGAGAACGCCCAGACUGAGUGGUCUGAACUGACCUGUGGCAGACAGAGCUGGAAAAAAAAGUGUAAAUUUCAUUUUGCACAGAAGCUAUAGUAUUAACUAUGCCAGCAAAUGCAACAGGAAGGGCUUCCAGCACGGGGCAUAUCUUCGGUUCUCGUCUGACUAUUCUCUAGCCUUGUUUUGUUACUUCACAACCCUUCUAUAAAAGCACCAGGUGACUAGCAACAAGGGACAAGGGACGUCUACUGCUGUCGGCCCGUACCAGCAACCCAGAGACCCGGCCGUCAGCCCGAGGGAGGCUAUUUGUCUCCAUCGGAAACAUGAACCAGAUUUCCCCGUAAUGGGCUCCAUAUUUUGGCCAAGCCGCCUCAGAUGUCUGGCCAAUAGAAAAGCCGUGUCCUUCCUGCACAAUUUCAGCCCUAAGAAUCUGUGACUCUCACUCCCUGGAGGCCCAGGGAACAGGAGGAGGGCGGGCUUGAAAUCAAUAAAUGGA
Molecule: long non-coding RNA, 6667 nt
Organism: Alexandromys fortis (reed vole)
Lineage: Eukaryota; Metazoa; Chordata; Mammalia; Rodentia; Cricetidae
Exons: 4
Source: RefSeq, a predicted model, not a curated record